Molecule: transfer RNA, 68 nt
Filed under: Sphaerodactylus townsendi
Lineage: Eukaryota; Metazoa; Chordata; Lepidosauria; Squamata; Sphaerodactylidae
Description: tRNA-Ser
Source: RNAcentral
GAUGGCUCAGUGGCAGAGGAUCGGGUUUGAAUGCAGAAGAUCCCUGGGUUCAAUUCCCAGCAUCUCCA